Long non-coding RNA from Orcinus orca (killer whale), 10761 nucleotides. RefSeq lists it as uncharacterized. The record is from RefSeq and is a predicted model, not a curated record. The transcript has 2 exons. NCBI's taxonomy places the organism in Eukaryota, Metazoa, Chordata, Mammalia, Artiodactyla, Delphinidae.
UUGAUGUGACUCACAAGCGUUAGUUCACCCUCGGGGGCCUUAGCGGAACAAGGCCCUUGCCUGGUAUUCAUUCAGGAGGCAGCUGGCUGGCUUUCUUGGUGGCUAGUUCCUAAGAACUAAGCCACUUUCUCAAGGUUCGGGGCUGGAGUGUCACUCCUGCGGUCUGUGCAGCGUAGUGGGCUCAAGUUUUCGAGGUGACUAGGACAUUCUAAGCCAGCCUUCUACUACAGAGUGCCUUAAGCCUCUGAGGCAAAAGCUCAUCCACGGCCCCUGUGUUCGCUGCAUGUCACUGAUGUCACCUUUCCAAACACUGUGUGUCCCUGGAGUAAAUGUGAAGAAGCUUACAUUUUUUUCUGUGGAGAUUCGAGGUAUCCAGUCCUCUGGAAGAACCAUUUUAACACUAGUUUGGAGGCCUCUGAGACCUCAGGAAUGGGGAGAAACGUUUCAGGGGCUCCGGAUUCUGGUUUUGGUUGGGUACGGUCUUGCGACCCUCUGUUAGUGAUGCUGGGGGCUCUGGCUCUUGCCCUUACCUGGUUUGACCACCCUUCUGGAAGGUGUUCUGCAGGGAACUUGCUUCUUCCCCCCCACUCCACCAGCCAAGGUCUUGCCCUGUCAGAAACUGAUCUAGUACAGUGAUGAGCCAGGGACUGGGUACAGCCUGCUAAGUUUGAGAGAGAAUCUGAUUAACUUCAAGACCUUCCCUGGUGAGAAUCCAACUCAGCCCAGUCCCUUGCCCUGGCUACUGUGUGGCCUUGUGCCUGUUGCAGGGGGGAGGCAGGGGUGAAUAAGGCCAUUGCAAGGACUUUGAGACUGUAACCCUGUUGGAGACCGAGGAGGAGGGGAAUUCUAUUUUUAAAAUGCUCACUGUGGUUUCUGUCAAGAAGAGAAAAGGAGCUGAUGAAAAUCAUGUGUUUCAAAGUAAGUAGAUUGAGAAAUGCUUAUUAUUUGUGCUAAAGAUACUGUCAUUUGUCUGAUUAGCAAUAGAAGAAAAUCUCCUAUUUUAAAGAGCAUGAUAGCUUAUAAGCUCAGUCAGGGAAAGACAAAUAAACAGCCUCAGAAGACUUUUUUGUUCAAGGUAAAACAGAGUCGGUUCACUGCAUUGCAUUAUGAUCAGGCACCACAGGCUGUGCUCAUUAGAGAGUUUUGAAAUAUUUUAGCCCCAAAAAAGGAAGGGAAAAAGAAGAAAGCUUUCUGUCACAGGAAAGCAGUAAAAGAACAUUCAGGUGUAACUGCAGGUGUUGCAUUUCCUGAUGAAAAAGGUGAUUUAUUGCAAACAAAGAAAUUCACCCAGUUUUACUUUUAUAUUCCCUGAAUUGACCUUCUAGUGAGACAAGGUUUUUAUUGCUAAUCUUUGGCCUUUAGCAAAGACCAAAAAAUUAAAAAGGCUGUUGCACACAGCACAUCAUAGUUCUGCAGAUACGCUGCAUGUGGCUCAUGCUUACAGGGUCUUUUAUGUUGGCAUCCUCCUUGCCGGAUAUUCAUUCAUUCAUUCACUCACUUCUUUCAGGCAACAUUUAUUGAGUCCUUACUGUGGAUUUACAUACAUUUACAACACUGUGAAGCAGUUACUGACAACACUGUGAAGCAGAUACUGUUACCCUUAUCCGCCCUAUUUUAUUUCCCGCAUGGUAUCUGCACCCUCUGCAUCUGGUAUCCUCCAUGCCAGAGUGUCUCUACUUUACCCUUUUUGUUGGAUGGAUUUGGGACAUAAUCUAGAAGGAGAAUCAACAAGACUUGGUGACACUUCAGAGGCAGGAGAAUAAAAAAGAAACAGCAUCACAGGUGACUCCCAGGUUUCUGACCUGAGCAACUAGAUGGAUGGAGAUAUUCCCACAUUUAUUGAGAAAGGGAAUAAUUUCAAAGGAGAAUAUAGACAGAUGAAUGUGUUCAUAAGCUUCAUCAUUUGCCUGUUGUCACCAGUCAGAGUCAAUGGAUGCUUUGCAGUUCUCAUCAUAUUAACACUCAGUUCAACAGAUCUCAUCACUUCCUCCUUAACAUAACACUUUUUUCUUUCAUGAUGGUGCCUCCUCUUUUUUUUUUUUCACGUCUUCCUGGCUCCUCCUCCUUAUUCUCUGUUGUUUCUCCCUCUUCUACACGACUUUUAAACGUUGGAGUUCUCCUGGACAUUCCAGAGCUCAGGCUCUCUCUUCUCUACAUUUUCUUCCUAAAGAAUCUCACCCAUUUAUUCCUUUAUUCAUUCAAUGUUUAUUGAACACCUUUUAUGUCCCAGACACUAUUCUGGGCCCAUGGAAUGACAGGGAAUCCUGUAGGGAGGCUGUUGGCAUCAUGCAGGCAGGAGAUGACAGUGGCCUGGGCCAGGCUGGUAGCCGUGGAGAUGGGAGAUGAAGUUGUAUUCUGGGUAUUCUGAAGGCUUUAAACAUCAUCUGUUCACCUGUGUCUACCACAUGUAACCUCUAGACAGACCUCUCUUCUGAGUCUCAGGCGUAUAUCUCUGACACCCCGCUUAACAUUUUGCUUGCAUAUCUUACUGACACCCCAAACCUAGGAUGUCCAAAGUUAAGCUAUUAAUAUCUCUGCAAAAUUCUCCCUUGUCUUUUUCAAUAAAUGUGGGAAUAUCUCCAUCCAUCUAGUCGCUCAGGUCAGAAACCUGGGAGUCACUCAUGAUGCUGUUUUUUACUCUCCUGCCACUCAAGUGUCACCAAGUCUUGUUGAUUCUCCCUCCAGAAUACGUCCCAAAUCCACCCAUUUCCCUUCAUCUCCAUUGCUACCAUCCAGUCCAUACUCUCCUCACCCCUGGCCUGGAUGUCAGCAGUAGCUUCCUAAGUCAUCUUUCAGUUUCUGGUUUUGUUGUGUUGCGGUGAUAUUUAUUCCCCAUCCAUUCAGUGCAGUCUUUUACAACCAAAAUAGGGUCAUUCCUCUCUGCCUCUUGACUCUCCCUGCCCCACACCAUCCCUCAUAAACAUGCCCAUUUACGAAACCUCCAAGCCUGUCCAUUGUCCUGAGAAUAAAUCCACAGGCUCCAGCACGUCCUGAGAGGUCCUGUGUGGUCUUGCCUACCUGCCUUUUCAUUUACCUCCAGACCGCUCUUCCUUUUUUAUUUUUUCUUUUGCCCUACCCAGGUACGUGGGGACUUUCUUGCCUUUUGGGAAGUCUGAAGUCUUCUGCCAGCACUCAGUAGGUGUUCUGUAGGAGUUGUUCCACGUGUAGAUGUAUUUCUGGUGUAUCUGUGGGGAGGAAGGUGAUCUCCGCGUCUCACUCUUCCGCCAUCUUGAAGCUCCUCCCGGUCUCCCUUUUUUAGCAUUCCCCAGAGACUCUUCGUUUUUUGUGUCUCAGAUCUAUCUAAUUUCUCACCUCAAGGCAGUCGUUAUGCUCAUCUCUCAGCCUGGACUCUGUCCCCUGGCUCAGUCCUCCUCGUCUCCAUGUCCACCUUCCUCGUCUCUUCCUCAGGGAAGCCUUGCCGGUUGACCCCUCCUAGAACCUGCUCUGUUCCUUCAGCUUAUCACAGUCUGUAAUUGGAUGAAUAUUUGUGCAUUUAUGUCUUAAUUACCCUCUAGACCAAGGCCCAUGUGGCAGGGGCCAUUUUUUCUGUUUUUCACCUAAGUAUAAUAUGUUGCUGUCAGGUGCAUAGUAAAUGUCCAAUAAAUAUUUCUUAGAUGGGUAGGUGACAGAGUAAAACAGUGAACAAAUGCAUGAAAAAGCAGCAGCUUGAGGAAGGGGUGUGUGUGUGUGUGUGUGUUUGGUGGGUGAGGGGUGGUUCAAAGCACAGGAGAAAUUUCUCCCACGGGUUUGAUGAUUCUCUUGUGAAUUGAAUAAGCAUGGUUUGGCAGUGAUACUAUUUCAGCUUGGUUUGGUUUAACCCCUUCUAAUAACUCACACCAGUCAAGCUUUCAUUGAACUUUAAUCUCAGUAUUUUGUGUUAAAAAGCAACAGAUAUUUCAGAUAUGCCUAGACUAGGAAUCAGUGCAGAGAUAGUAAACGUCAGUUAAUGAAAAUACCUCCGUUCUCUGAUCACCCCGCAUGGACUGGCUGCGUCCGUGUACUCACGCGUCCUCCACGGGGUGGGUGGGGGUGAGGGCUCGUGUUACCUUAGGGUAGUAGUCCUUGUUCCCCGUGGGCAGUCUGUGGUUUGGACCCUAUGAAAGACUUCCUCUUUACUUGGGGAUUAGGAAUUUCAAGGUGGCUGAAAGCUCUCCCAGGCUGAGAACAGGGCUAGGAGGCUUACUGUCCCAUCUCUUGGAGGUGGCUUCUAGAGACCGACUGGGGUUUCUAGUUCCAGGGAAAAGACAACAUCUCAAAGGGGUGCUUAACCCCAAAGGACAGCGCUCCGCGACGGCUGCUGCGUCAGGGACACAAGACCAGCUGUUCACUCGCCGGCUCCCUUGCGGAGACCGGCAGUAAUGACACAGUAGCAGAUGCCAUCGGAAAAUUCCAGCUCCGCUACCACAGGGUCCAUUUCUUAUUUGUCAUUUAUUGUGGCAAGUGGGAUUUUUUAUUGUUGUUGUUUCCAAAUAGAAACAGCUGAGCUUUAUUUGAAAUGUUUUCCCUUGAUUCUCUUUUGAUCUAUGUUUUGAUCAGUUGUCCUUGAUGUGGUUUUUUUUUUAUAUUGUUUUUAUUGGAGGGGGAGGGGACAGGGAUAGGAUGAGAGUCUAAACAGGGUUGGGGUUUUUUUCUGUUCUUUCUUUUUCUUCCUUCCUUUCUGUUUCCUUCUUUCUUUUUUUAUUGAAAGCCCUCAUUUGUAAGUUUUACUUGUGUACAGAAAUGUAACCGUUUAUAGGAAUAAUAACCAAACAGCAUUUCCCCAGUGAUCUCGUGUUCGGGAAGUAUGGCAUAGUGGCAAGACCAUCAGUUCUGGGGCUAGACAGAUGCAGAUUCUGCCCCUUCUUAACCUCUAAACACUUCACUUAAACCUCUGUUGUGAGUUUUAGCUUAUUUAUCUAAAAUGGGACCUGUCCCCGCAGGGUUAUGGUGAAUGUGAAAUGUCAUCAUGUUCGCAAAGUGCUCAGCCUAUAGUUUCUCAACAAGUAGAUGUUCUUGUACAAAUAUCCUGUUACAGCUGUUAAUGCCUAGGAGAAAGGUAUAUUUUCAUCUGUGAUUGCACUGGGUCAGUGGUAGAACUGAAAUAAUAAUGAUAAUAAUAUCACAGGACAGAAGAGAGAGUCCUCAAACAGAGUAACACAUGCACAACAAAGGCGCCCCUGUAGCUGAGCAGAAAAGGAUGGUCUUUUUGGGGGUUUUUUGGGUUUUUUUUUUUUUUGGUCUUUUUCCAUAAAUGGUGCUAGACCGAUUUAAUAUCCGUAGGGGGGAAAAAGCCUACCACCCCUACCUCUUCCCAUUCAUGAACAUUAAUUCAAGAUGAAUCAUAGACCUUAAUGUGAAAGGGAAAACACAAGAGCUUCUAGAAGGAAUCAUAAGAGAAUACGGUUAUUGUCUUAGAAGAGGCAAAGAUUUCAUAAACAAGGCAUCAAAAUUAUAACCGAAAAGUGCUAACUAUAAGAGAAAGACUUUGAAAAGGUUUUUGCAUUGUAUAUAUCUGACAAAGGACUCAUACCCAUAAUAAAUAAAGGACUCCUGCAAAACAACAAAGAAAAGGUAAUUCAGUUUUUAAGAAUGGACAAAAGACCCAUGGCAUUUCACAAAAGAGGAAAUCCAGAUAGAUGGCCAGUAAAUGUAUGAAAAGAGCUCAACAUCAUCAUUCAUCAGGGAAGUGCAAAUUGAACCCACAGUAAGGAGCCCACCAGAAUGGCUCAUAAGAGGACUGACAGCACCCAGUGACGGCAAGGAUGUGCAGCAGCCUGAACCUUAGUAAACUGAUGGUGGAGACGGCAACUGGAAAAAUGCCCUUGGAAAACUGUCGGUGUCUGCUAACACUAGGCGUCCACCAGCCCUGUGAGCCAGCAGUUGCGCCCCUAGCUGUACCCCCAGGAGAAAUGCAUACACAUAUCUAUCAGAAGACGUGUGCAGGAGGCUUCCUAGUCACAUUAUCUAUAAUAGCCCCGAAGUGGAAACAUCCGAAGUAGUCAGCAGUAGAACAGAAGUUGUGGAAUGUUCAUUCCGUGGAACAAUACACAGCGGUAAAGAAUGAACUGCUCUGUGUAACAAAAUGAAUUAACCUCACUAACAUAGUUUUCAGCUAAAGAAGCCAGAUUCAAAAAGAGUAUACACUGUAUGAUUCCAUUUACACGAAGUUUAAGAACGGGCAGAAUUAAUCUGUGGCGACAGCAGUCAGAAUGGUGGUUACCUUGAGGGGUAGGAGGGCAGCUGUUGAUAGGGAAGGGGUACUUGGAGGUCCUCCGGGGUGCUGGGCACAUUCUGCAUCUUGAUCUGGGUGGGGUCAUGUGAUGUGUAUGUGUGAGAAAACCCAUCAGGAUAUACACUUAGGACGUGUGCGUUCUGUUGCUCCUCACAUUAAAAUUUUUAAAAUCAUUGAGUUAUUUCUGGGUGCCAAACCCUAUGCUAUACCCUUUACAUACAUUAUCUCGCACAAUUUUUUUUUUAACAAAAGCCUCUUUGUUGGGAACUAUUAUUUUACAGAUGAGAGAAGUAAAGCUCAGAGAGUUGGUUCCCUGACUGCAGCUGGUCCGGGCUCUCCCAGCUCGUGAGUGGCAGGACCAAGGUGCGAGCCCAGGAUUGUCUAGUUCAAGUGUCUAGACUUCCUUGCGGGUGCUUCCUUCACUCCCUCACAGUGUUUCUUCCAGUCUCCCUUUCCUGGGGGACACGUGGGCAUUCAGAUGGGUUGGAUGCAGUCUUGAGUUAAUUAGUCCUGUUGCGUCUAGCACGUGGUACCCACUCCUCUGCUUUGGCCUCAGGUAAUAAUCGAGGUAGAUACCUAAGCCCUGAGGUGGUAGCCGCCUUGGAAAACAGGUACCUCUGCCACGGCCAACUCCUUCCUCGUCUAAGACUUGAGCAUGUGUGUCUUCCUCCUGGAAUUUUCCCACAGUCCCCCUGAACUGAGCCUGAGUCCCUCGUCUUGAUCUUCUGCAGAUCCGUUGUGUUACCCCUGCCACUCUGUGAACAUAGCACAUGGAAACACCUGGAUACGUAACUCUUUCCCUCUAAAAAAAGUCUAUCCUAGGCGGGAUCUGUAUCAUACUGCACACCCCACACUGGACCCUGUGUGUUACCACAGUGUGUCCCAAAGCAUAUUUUUUUCUGCAGUAUCUUAAAUGCUAUUAUAUGAGGGAAGGCUCCUAAAUAAUACAUAUAUGUAGGACCUGUGUUAAGCAGGUGUCUCUCUUGCAGGGCACCACGGAAUGAAUCUUUACUGUUCUCAUGUGCAUUUUGGAAACUCUGGACUACAGUGCCACAUCUUGGGGAAUGCAGGAAUUAUAGUGUAAACAUGGAGACACGUUCCAUUCUAUACUUUUUCUUCAUGAGGAGUCUAGCUUGUGACUGCGCCUGCCAAGCAGCCACCAGAGGGAGGCGUUCAGGGAAAUGCCUUAAACAUUUCAGAAUGGCACAGCUGGCUAAACUUGAUGUUGUUUAUAAAAGGCAUCAGUGAGUUUCCACACCGGAGCAGUACUUAUGCGGUAUGCACAAAAUGAUACGUUUCUGCUUUUAAUAUCUUACUGUGCCCAUCCUAAUGUUCAAAGCAGAAAUCUUUCUGCUGAAAUCAGUCUUUCCUCCUCCGGAGGGGAAGGACUGUCUUCUAUUGACUUCUGUGUCCCCAGCAUUAAACAGCUGGUGAACCUUCAGUGAUCAUUUGUUCAGUUGUUGAGCUGACAUUAAUUAAAACUAGAAAACCUCUUAAUGCUGUUUGGCUUUCAAAAGGUAAACUUUGGGUUUGGCUUCCCAGUGAUUUAAUUUGGUUUUUUAAAGCCUCUCAUUGAUUCUCUUACCCCUCACCUAGUGUGAUUGAAGAUGUGCAAACCAUAUCUUUCUCCCUGUCCAAAGCAAACAAGUGCGCGCACGACUUCGCAGGUUAGCGGAGGCCUCCCUGGGACCCUGUGUGAAGCAAGUCAGUGAGGGGCUAUGGGUGGGCGAUGCUCAGGUGCCACUCCCAGGCUGAGGAGAGCGUAACACGCUGCCACCCUGCACCCCACACACGCUCACACAGAUGCAGGCCAAGGCGUCAUCUAAAUAGACCCGUUCAGGGGCUUCCCUGGUGGCGCAGUGGUUAAGAAUCCGCCUGCCAAUGCAGGGGACACGGGUUCGAGCCCUGGUCCGGGAAGAUCCCACAUGCCACGGAGCAACUAAGCCCGUGCACUACAACUACUGAGCCUGAGCUCUAGAGCCCGCGUGCCGCAACUACUAAAGCCCGAGCGCCUGGACCCCAUGCUCUGCAACAAGAGAAGCCACCACAAUGAGAAGCCCGCGCACCACAACAAAGAGUGGCCCCCAAUCGCCACAACUAGAGAAAGCCAGCACACAGCAACGAAGACCCAACACAGCCAAAAAUUUUUUUAAAAAGAGUCAAAGAGCACAAACCUGAUGGAUUUGACUAUAUAAAUAAAUAAACAAACGUGUUCAGAAUGAAAGAGGGAAGAAGACCCGUUUUACGUAGCUUCUACGGUAUCCUAGCAACUGGUUCCCCAGGGCUCGAAGCCGAAAGUUGGAGGAGUGGGAUGUCAUAUCUUGCAUGAGGCUCUCACAAAAGUGGACUCUGUUUCCUUGUUCAGGUGUUUUGGCAAAUAGUCCCAACUCUUUUAAAAUGAGACUAAAGUACUUCAGGCUGUACUCCUUCAGAUGGUGUCUACUCAGCUCUUAGUUGUGUGCUGCUCGUUUUCUUACAUCCCUAAGAUCAUAGCGGCUAGAAAUGAAAACUGUUGUCAGCACACUGAAACGUUCGCAUGUGAAGGCUGCCGAGCCGCGCGCGUCUCCUGUGCACACGGAGAGGCCAGAGUGCGUGGUGUGCGCGCCUGCCCGCUGACCUCAGGCCUGCGCGCUUGCCUGGGCUCUGGGUCGGUCUUGCCAAGCCUGCCUCGCUCAGCUGUCCCCCUGCCUCUCGGACGUCAGAACGCGUCCGGUCCUGCUCUAUCUUGUUUACUUGCAUGAAAAGCACAGUUGCUUGAGGUUUAUUGUCACGUAAGGUAGAAAAUGGGAGUCUGUCCUUUUCCAAGGUGAGGUGCCUGGCGUGAACUGUGUCACCGUUGCUCCCACUCAGCCUGGGUGGGGACGGGGCAAGGCGCCCUCACACCAGAAGUAGUGAGACAGGGUCCUCGGAAGCUGCUCCCUUCGACUCCCUGGCUGCCACUUUAGCCACCUGGCUUUGAGGUGACACCGUGUUUCCUUAAUUUUACUUCUCAGCCGUUACUAUCAGUGUUUUAAGUGCCGCCAUAUAAAAUUAAUUUCAAACCAGAAACAAAGCUUUCGCGAACAUUUGUUGCCAUUAAUUUUUGUUCUUAAGGAUCCGCUCCUGUAGCUGAUUGAUUUGACAAAUGCUGUCUGAUGAGCGAAACUUUAGGGAAAGAACGUCGCUGGGAAACCACGUUAGAAAUAACUCGCUUAAAUGAUUUCGCGUUAAUAGUCUUCCAUGGCAGUUGUGAGUUUGCUAGCCUAAGUAUUUUGAAUUUUGAAACUAAAAGAAACUAUAUGAAACAUCUGUUUAUUGUUAUAUUACUUCUGGUUUUCUUUUAAAAACUUUUGACGACUUUAUUUUUUAAGAGCAGUUUUAGGCUUACAACAAAGUUGGGAGGACAGUACGGGGACUUCCCAUUUUCCCACAGCCCUCACACGUGCAGAGCCUCCCUCAUCAGUAACCCCCAGCAGAGGGGCACUUCUGUUUUUUUAACAGAAGUUGAACCUAUGUUGACACAUCAUUAUUACCCAGAGUCCAUAGUUUAAGGGUCCACUUUUGAUGUUGUACAUUCUGUGGGUUUGGACAAAUACGUAAUGACACGUAUCCAUCAUUGUAGUAUCACACAGAGUAUUUUCACUGUCCUAAAACUCCUCUGCGCUCCACCUCUGCAUUGCCCCUCCCCUGACCCCGGCAACCACUGAUCUUCUCCUGUCUCCAUACUUCUGCCUUUUCCAGACUGUCACAGAGUUGGAAUCACACAGCACGUAGCCUUCAGAUUGGCUUCUUUCACUUGGUGAAGUGCACGUAAGCCGCCUCCAUGUCUUGUCGUGGCUUGCUAGCUCAUUUCUUUCUUUAGUGCUGAAGAAUAUUCCAUUGUCUGGGUGUACCAAGUACUUGUUUUUCAAAAUUCUUUUCUCUAACACUGUUUGCAUCAUAAUCAUUCUGCACACCUCCCCAGUCUCUCUAUAGUAUAAAGUAUAGUUUAAAAGAACUUUUAUAAGUCUUGACUCUGUAUUUCAGAAGUUGUAUAUCUGAUGUAUAGAUUAGACCAUAAAGUAGUAAGUCUGAAAUAUCCUAAAUAGCCUAAAGUUCACCUGCAUGACAGUUUCCCUCAGACACUGCCUCUCGUGGCGCUGAACUCAGAUUCCAGGGAGCCUGUCUCUGCAAAGAAUGUGCCGGACGCCUUUUGAAAGUACAUUCAGGACACAGUUUACCAGCACAAGGACAUCCAAAGUUUCAGUGCUUGGUAAUCAUACCUCACCUCUUUCCCCAAAUGGCAUUACCAGGCUGUCUCACUGGGCCUGUUGCAGUUGAGGUAGACUCCUCCGGCUGUCAUACUCAGGGUGGUCCCCGAGGGUGAAGAUCUGCCUUCAGAAGAGCCACUGAAUUCAGAACAGAAGGAUGACUGCCUGCACACAGCGUGCCCAGAGCACUUCCGGCGCAUGGUUUGUGCUUUAGAAGUGUUGCCGUUGUUAUUUAGAUGUGUAUAUUUUCUGACAAAGUUAAUUAAUUCCCAGUUUUUCUUUUUACGUUUGCGUUCUUUAUUAAAAUGAGCAGUGACUUUG